AUGGACGCUGGCGGCGUGCCUAAUACAUGCAAGUCGAGCGAACGGACGAGAAGCUUGCUUCUCUGAUGUUAGCGGCGGACGGGUGAGUAACACGUGGAUAACCUACCUAUAAGACUGGGAUAACUUCGGGAAACCGGAGCUAAUACCGGAUAAUAUUUUGAACCGCAUGGUUCAAAUGUGAAAGACGGUCUUGCUGUCACUUAUAGAUGGAUCCGCGCUGCAUUAGCUAGUUGGUAAGGUAACGGCUUACCAAGGCAACGAUGCAUAGCCGACCUGAGAGGGUGAUCGGCCACACUGGAACUGAGACACGGUCCAGACUCCUACGGGAGGCAGCAGUAGGGAAUCUUCCGCAAUGGGCGAAAGCCUGACGGAGCAACGCCGCGUGAGUGAUGAAGGUCUUCGGAUCGUAAAACUCUGUUAUUAGGGAAGAACAUAUGUGUAAGUAACUGUGCACAUCUUGACGGUACCUAAUCAGAAAGCCACGGCUAACUACGUG
This 496-nucleotide ribosomal RNA is filed under the name uncultured bacterium. RNAcentral's name for it is "partial 16S ribosomal RNA". It matches the Rfam family "Bacterial small subunit ribosomal RNA", at positions 29 to 507 of the family's 1533-position model. The record is from RNAcentral.